UACGGAGGGUGCGAGCGUUAAUCGGAAUUACUGGGCGUAAAGCGCACGCAGGCGGUUUGUUAAGCUAGAUGUGAAAGCCCCGGGCUCAACCUGGGAUGGUCAUUUAGAACUGGCAGACUAGAGUCUUGGAGAGGGGAGUGGAAUUCCAGGUGUAGCGGUGAAAUGCGUAGAUAUCUGGAGGAACAUCAGUGGCGAAGGCGACUCCCUGGCCAAAGACUGACGCUCAUGUGCGAAAGUGUGGGCAGCGAACAGG
RNAcentral lists this ribosomal RNA (253 nucleotides) under uncultured bacterium. RNAcentral's name for it is "partial 16S ribosomal RNA". It matches the Rfam family "Bacterial small subunit ribosomal RNA", at positions 524 to 776 of the family's 1533-position model. The record is from RNAcentral.